Molecule: long non-coding RNA, 5534 nt
Organism: Oryzias melastigma (Indian medaka)
Lineage: Eukaryota; Metazoa; Chordata; Actinopteri; Beloniformes; Adrianichthyidae
Exons: 2
Source: RefSeq, a predicted model, not a curated record
GAAUGGUUUAGCAAGGAGUCAAAUUAAUUUAUUGAAAACUAAGACGGCAAACAGAGUUAAUUAGGGACACAAAAUCGCCCCCCAGUGUGGUGGAGAACCCCCAGAGGAUCACCAAUCCUCCAUCUGCCUUCUCUUCUCUCAAUGCCUCUUUCCAGCCGUCUCAUUGGCUCAUUUGGAUUUUGGUGGGUCUGAUUGGCUGCCCUCCUCCCCGGACUGUUUCUCCCCCCACCAGUUCCAGUCCAAUGAGGGAGAUCAGGCACCUCCACUCUGCUCCUCGCGGUUAUGCCUGUUUCCUUGUGUAACUUUACCCACAAGCAUGGCGUUUUUCAUUUUUUUAUUUAUCGUUUCUCCAUCGUUACUUCCGUUAGCUGUUUUCAUUUUGAUGAAUGCCACACAAAAAUGAAGAAUAUUUAUUGAAGUGUGCCAAACUAAACCUCUGCCUACACCUUCCUGUCAGCUCAGAAAAAUGUCUUUCCUCUUUCCAAAACUGCAGUGUGGAAGCCGUGGCCUGCAUCUGUUUGGCUCAUUUUGCGAUUUGUUGGGUUUUUUUUGUCUCUUGUGUUUGCAGUUCACACCCUUCACUCUCUGGUUUGAAUGAGCAGCCUGCUGCGCUCUGAUUGGCUGCCGGCGGCUGCCAUAUAAGGACAUAGGCCGCAGCCGAGGCAGGAAGUGGAGUAAGGAGGAAGUGGAAAGCCGGCUCUCAGAGACAGCUGAUGGUGCACCCCGAGGACGCCUGCCACACCUUUCUGAUUCUUUUCGAAUUCCAUCACCUCAUCAUUUAGGUUUCAAGACUGGUUUCUGUAGUCAGACGGUGGUGCUACCUGCUUCACUCACAGUGGAGGAAAGCCUCCUAAUCUCUCAGCUUAGGGCAGCAUACAAGCUUUCCUUUAAAGCCGAGCAGCAGGCAAAGUCCACUUAGACGUGCAGCGCUUUUACACCGAAGCAGAUUGUCACGAGAACAACAUGAUGUAAUUGAUAAGACAGGGAGGGAGCUCCCUGCCCAUCGAGCUAAUCAUCUAACAUGAAACGCAGCCGUUCUCAGUAACCAAAUCGAGCAGCUCUGCAGCAUCGAGUUACAUUUAGAAGUUUGUGUUAAGCUAAAAGAAAGCUCAUUAAGUGAUCAUUUGACCCUGAUAGAGCCCAAAACAGCAUGAGUUAGAUCACAAGAUACACAAGCGAGAAGCUGCACUAAAAGGCCACUUCUGCAGGUUUGAUUGCACAACCUUUUUUUUUUGUUCUGGGGUGAGUGAGAUGUUGCAUUGUUGUUCAUUUGCGUGAGCGGCAAAGAGAGUGUGUUGACCUGGGUGUGCAACAGUGAAGCCACACCUUCCUCCCAACACUCGCGUCCAUAAAAGGAGAUCUUUAAGUUUGUCACAUGGUAACAAUCUCAGGAAUGUGAGAGCAGUCACAUGGGAUGCCAUCUCAAGGAAAUCAGUUUCACCCCCCCAAACCAUCACUAUCCAGGCUAUGAAAUGAUUUGUCAGCAUGUCAUUGAUUUUUCUGGAAGGAGAGUGGGGGAUGUUUUCUUUGCUUUGUGUGGCUGAAAGAAGGGGAAUUCACAGCAAUUUCACUUCUCUAUGUUCAGUGAGAUGUCAGGAGGUCACUCCCGCUUCCUUCCCCAGCAGAAGAAGAGCAACUGUGCACUCCAACUCCAAACAAACGCCUCAAAGUGAGCCCAACUUUGACGUCCUCCCCUAAAACAUCAUCUGGAUUCACCCCUUUUCUCUCAAAAGUCUCUCAAAGCUUCCUGGAGGCGAGGCCGCAGUGUGGACCGCAGGAGAUGCCGCCUCACAGCGCCCUCUAAAGUCACAACCACAACGCUGAUACACGCUGCACCCUGCGAGGGACUUCCUCUUUUUUACCACUGCAGGUCGCCAUAUAAGGUUAAUACUUGUCAGCCCCACCCUCCGUCCCGUCCAAGAGCCGUCCACUGCAGGUCAUCUCGGAGACCUCAAGAUUGCAAAAGGAGGAGGAGGAGGUGAGCCUGGGAGAUGUGUUAUAAGAGCACAGACGGAGAUGGAAUUCUUGUUUUCUCACUUUCCCUUCAGCGCUCCUCUCGUCUCCGUCGCCUUGGAGCCAAUAUUGUCCCGGUUGCACAACUCAAACAUCCAGACAAAGACUUCAUCGUCUUUUGUCUUUGCGUUUCUGUCACAUCCUCUCCAUCCGCUCGCUUGUUGACCUUCUCCUCAUCUCCAAGACUUUGUUUUAUAUGGUAAAUGCAUGAGGCCAACAUUCCACAGCAUUCCCUGUCUCUCAUUAGAAGAAUAAAUGAGUGUUUUUGUCUGAAAUUGCAUCUUUUCAUUGAAUUUGUGGGCUUCCCUCAGCAGUGGGGACCAGUGAACCAGUGAUGUAGGUCAGGAGGAAAUGUUUUCCUUGUACUAUUGCAUAACGGUGCACACAUUCCUCUCUGUGCACACAUACUGGGGAAGAAGACGGAGAAGCCAAGAUACACAGCACGAGCUGUGAUUGCACUGCAGUGCAUGAAGGAAUCCAAAGACAUUCUCAGUGUGUUUGAAUGACCCACGUCACGAAAACGGGCUUUUAAGGUGGAAUGACUAAAGGAUCAGCAGCUGGUUCGGUUGAAGCGUUCUUCCUUCUCGGCCUGCUUACCCUCCUCUCUUAAGAGAUUUACCUUAAAGCUUCACUUGUUUGCGGAUCUAGGAACCUAAGACGAUAAAAAAAAGGAGGAGAAGUGAAAGGAGAGGGAGAGGAGGGGAUUGAGAGAGGAGGAGUUACGCCCUUCUUGGCUCCUCUGAUUGUAAGCCGAUAACCUGGAGCACACUACCGAGCUGUUACGUAAGAGACAGGAGACGUCCCAGUGGACUCUGUGUGAGGGAAAGCAUGAAUGUGUGACUCUUCAACUGUUCAUUUUCCAGCUGGGUUUCUAACGUUUAUUUUCCUCUUAAGCAAAUUUGGUCGGAACCAUGGUCUGUUUGUGCCUGACACUGAAGAAAGGACACUGUACUCAGAGGAACUGUGAACCAGAGGCUAUUAUUGUUUCACAUGAGGAAACUUUGCCUAAUACAAAUGUAUGCAAAUAAACCUUUUCUACUGAACUUCUCAUAAAAAGCAGCUUUGGGUUCUGACACAUCGUUCACUUCAAAGGAACCCCUCUAAACUUUGUUCACCCGCCCCAUGAAAGAUGUUUUUUUAACAUAUCCUUGUGGUAUUUUUCUGAUGAUAUACUGUAUUUGUAGUUGAAAAUUGCAUCUCUGAGUAUUUGUUUAUUCAAAGUUUUGUGAAUCAGGAGAAGAUGAUAAUAUGCUGUUUGUGAUGUAGAAAUACACUGAAAAAAGGGAAACUAAUGUAAGUUAUUACAGUCCUGCCCGCAACUUAGAGGCAAAUUUCUAAUGAAUUCCUUCAGAAACUAACUCUUAGAAACUGACUCAUCUGUUUAUUAUCAAGACAAAUUAGCCUUUUUGAUUGUAAAUAAAUAACUAGUGUAUCAGACCUUGAAAGUAAAAAUAACAACAUGUUAGUUCACAUUGUCAAGUCUGAGGCCCAAAUGUUGAACAAAAAUGUUUAGUUAUCUCUCCUCCAGCAUCCUACAGAGUGUGUGGGAGAAAUACAUGUGAAAAUGUCCUGAGAUUUCUGCUCUGGAAAGAGUUCAAACUCUGCAAGAAAGUGUUUGUUUAACCUGACCGAGCUCACCUCUGGAGGAAUAAGUUUUACCUUAAAAAAGAAAACUUGAUCCUUAAGAAUAAAUCAAGUCUGUAAAUCAUAGCUUAGCUGACAAAGAGCUGAGUUGAGUGGAAACAUAUUAGAAAUGGACUAUAAACCAAAUAUGUGUCUCAGUACUUGAGUAGUUUUAUUUUUAUGUAUUGUUUUUUGUCUCUUAAUCAAGUAUUUAUUUCUACUUUUUCUGUAUUUUGCUCAUUUGUUUUCCUUCUAUGACACUUUUGAAGACUCCUGUCAAAGUCACUCCAGCUUAAUGUUCAUAGUCUGUUUGCAUUUCUGUUCAUUGUCCUCAGCGUAUGGAAAUGUCAAUGUCAUCGAUUUUUGACACCAAAUCUGGUUUUCUACAUUUUAGGUUCUAUGCCUGCAGUUCCUAACAACACUUCUCUAAAGCCGAGUUCAUAUCGGCCUCAGAAACUGACGUUCAAGCGACCACUUUCAAUGAAAAGCCUUUGUAAACAUGCAGGUUUUGGAUUUCAAACUCUCACGUUUCUACGACCAAUUCGAGCUCUUUGUACAAAACACACAACUAUUGAACGCACAUUGAAAGUUAUGUCAGGUUAAGCAUUGACCAAGUCUUUCAUAAAUCGGAACGGAGCUGGAGCAAAAUCAAAUACAUUUGCACCAUUUCAACAUUCAGUACCAAGCCUCUUCCAAGUCAACAACGUUAGUCAACAGUAUAAAAAGUAGAUGAAGCCCCUCCCUGCUCUUCCAGUGUGAACACCAUGAGCUAAACACACGUUCAAGAAUGUACGUUUAGCUCCUUCUUGAACAUUCAUCACAAGCCCGGUGUGUACAGUUUUCAAUUCUUGAGUACAGUUUUUAGGUUUUGUGCCGUCAGCGUCUGUUAGUUUCCCUGAGUAUUGAUAUUAAAAUAAAGCAAAGCACAGACACAAAAAACAAACUGAACUUUACAGCCAAAAUCGCAUCCAAAAACAUUAUUUCAGCCAAAAUUGGUCUGGUGUGUAAUCUGAAUUUUGAUUGGCUUAAGACGAGGAAGAUAAACUCACCUUAUUGAGGUUACAUGGAAGCUUUAACAACUCUCUGUGGUGUGUCGCUAAUUUGCAACAUCAUGAAUUUAGCUUCAUCGUGAAAAAACACUAAAGAACAUUUUUAAAUAAAUAAAUGCAAAUGUACAUGGUCGGACAUAAAAGGGUUAAAACUUUUGUGAGUGAGCAAAAAGACACAUGACUUUGGAACAGGAGGCAGAUUGUCUAACUUAACAAAUGAAUGAGCUAAAGAUCCCAGAGAAUGUGGCUUUCAAAUAAUGUAUUUUUUUAAGUGCCCUGAAGAAGAGAUUUACAACUACCAGUACAUACACAAAAAAAAAUAUGUGAAGGAAAUGAUGAACAAACCAGAAAAACUGCUUUGAGAGAAAUGCAACAAAUAAAAAAUGAAAGGCAAACCUCCCAUAAACUAAAAAUUGGCAGGGAUUGCUGAAAUCAGGAAUUAUGACAAACUGGCUUUGACUGAGAAAAAAGUAUGAGCUCCGGGGGAGAGAAACUGAGUCAAUUUGCAAGUGAAAGCUGCAGUUAGUAAAUGGAAGCAAAACUAAAGUCAAUGUGAAACAACACAAGGAAAGUAGAAACAAAUCGACUGAAUAUAAAUGAUUAGAAACAAAGAGGGCAGCAUUACUACCUUACAAGGAGAAAAAAAAACCUGCAGGAAUCUUUCAUUCAAGUCAUCUAAUAAAUACAACCCAAAUAUAAAAGAAAAUGUGUAUUCUAAUAUUUAUUUGUAUGUUUUAAAUGUUAUGACCAACAAAACAAAAGAAAGAAAUGUCUGAUUUGUGAUUGUAACUUGGAUGAACUUUAUGUGUGGACAAAAAUGUAUUUGUCAAUGAAUAAAACAUGAGAGAU